This 139-nucleotide long non-coding RNA is filed under the name Papio anubis (olive baboon). Its description in RNAcentral is "lncRNA (ENSPANG00000046955.1)". The record is from RNAcentral. Lineage: Eukaryota; Metazoa; Chordata; Mammalia; Primates; Cercopithecidae.
AGGUUACCCACAGUGUUGACCUACGAGUGUAAGGCAUGUGUAAGGGGAUCAAGGAAGGUUCGGUGAGAUGCUGAAAUGAGAUACAGAAUACAAUGAUCAUAUUCAGGUAAUUUAUGGGUUGAACUUUUCCGUGUUUAUG